ACGUUCGGGUAAUCGCUGCAAUGCAAAUUGUAGAGGAAAGUCCAUGCUCGCACAAGCUGCGAUGCUUGUAGUGUUCGUGCCUAGCGAAGUCAUAAGCUAGGGCAGCUUGUCAUGAGCUGACGGCAGGGAAAAUGCCUAAGUCUUUUUAAGAUAUGGCAUGAAUACUUUGAAAGUGCCACAGUGACGUAGCCUGUUCAGAAAUGAACAGGGUGGAACGAGGUAAACCCCACGAGCGAGAAACCCAAAUUAUGGUAGGGGCACUUUCUCACUUGGAACUGAACAAGGAGAAGGACAGAUUGUUUCAAUCUGUAGAUAGAUGAUUACCACCGGAGUACAAGACGUAAGUCGUUUGCAGUACGAUGGUACAAAACAUGGCUUACAGAA
This 384-nucleotide RNase P RNA is filed under the name Bacillus yapensis. RNAcentral's name for it is "Bacterial RNase P class B". It matches the Rfam family "Bacterial RNase P class B". Rfam says of the family: Ribonuclease P (RNase P) is a ubiquitous endoribonuclease, found in archaea, bacteria and eukarya as well as chloroplasts and mitochondria. Its best characterised activity is the generation of mature 5'-ends of tRNAs by cleaving the 5'-leader elements of precursor-tRNAs. Cellular RNase Ps are ribonucleoproteins. Lineage: Bacteria; Bacillati; Bacillota; Bacilli; Caryophanales; Bacillaceae. The record is from Rfam by way of RNAcentral.